UUUAGUCGUAAAGACAACUGCGCCCUAGCGUAAGCUAUGGUGAGGAAAGUCCGAACACUGCCUUGUAGCAAUAUAAGGAGUUAGUAGUGGGUAACACCCAUCUGGGUAAUCCAAGAGGUGCGAACAGUGACGCUCGAGCCGAAAGGCAGAAGCUCCGCCGGAAGGUGGAUGAAUCUCAUGGCAACAUGAGGGUGCAACGGCAAAAUCCUUACUUCAGUGCAAGACCGUGUCUGUCGCAAGACAGAAGAGUCGCUUGACCGUAUGAGCAAUUGCACGGCUAGAUAAAUGGUUGUCAGGACUCGCUUUCGCGAAAGCUAUGGCGGGUACUACAGAAUUCGGCUUAUAUACGACAAAAUGAU
Molecule: non-coding RNA, 359 nt
Filed under: bacterium
Lineage: Bacteria
Source: RNAcentral